RNAcentral lists this unclassified non-coding RNA (3047 nucleotides) under Leguminivora glycinivorella. Its description in RNAcentral is "aDP-ribosylation factor-like protein 5B, transcript variant X1". The record is from RNAcentral. Lineage: Eukaryota; Metazoa; Arthropoda; Insecta; Lepidoptera; Tortricidae.
CCAUGUUAUUUUAUAUUAUUUAUAACGAAUCUUAUAGGGAAUAUAAUAUUUGAUAGAUUUAAAUAACAUAAAAUAAAUGUAUAAAUGUAACAUUUGGCGAGAACUUCAGCUUUUAUUCGACUUUUAUAAUAGACCCCAUAUUACCUCUCUCUUCUACUCGCGCCCUUCCCAUUUGUUCACCUUGUAUUGUAUUUAGUCCAAAAUGUCGAAUUUAGAGGUGUUUGACGUGUAAAUUGUAACAUAUUUUUUCUACAAAACUAUGAACUAAGUAGUCUAAAUAGUUUUAUUCCAAAUAUUUGUGACAAGUGUAAGAUAAGUCACUAGGUUAGAUAAUUAAAGGCAGCAUAAGGACAAGAUAAAAGUGACCCGAUGAGGUUCAGAUGUGAAACAAGUAGUUUACCUUCCAUGUAGCAUUUCUUUCGUUUAUAGACAACCCACCCUCCUUUUGCUACAUCCAGGGUGCGAUGGGAUUACUGAUAUCUAAAAUAUGGAGCCUCUUCGGGAACGAAGAACACAAGUUGGUGCUAGUGGGGUUGGAUAAUGCAGGCAAGACCACUAUCCUGUACCAGCUGCUUCUCGGCGAGGCGGUCCACACGCGGCCCACGAUCGGCUCUAAUGUGGAAGAGGUUGUGUGGAGAAACUUGCGUUUUGUCAUGUGGGACCUCGGCGGGCAACAGAGCUUGCGCUCUGCUUGGAAUACAUAUUACACUAAUAGCGAGUUCGUGAUAAUGGUGAUCGACUCGACGGACCGGCAGCGCCUGGGCAUCAGUCGCGAGGAGCUGCACCGCAUGCUGGCGCACGAGGAGCUCGGCCGCGCGUGCCUACUCGUCUACGCCAACAAACAGGACGUGAAAGGCUCAAUGAGCGCUGCUGAAAUAUCGGAGCAACUGGACCUGACGUCUAUCAAGCAACACCCGUGGCACAUACAGGCGUGCUGCGCGCUCACCGGAGAAGGGCUACAUUUAGGGCUCGAGUGGAUCGCGAGUCGGAUAAAAAAGAAAUGAUAGUCCACCGGUGCGUUAUAUACUUAUAUUGUUAACUUUUAAAUUACGUUUAAAACCAGUAGCCUUAUCACUAGCUUGACACUGAGAUGUUCUGUAACUUCUGUAGCUUGUACUUUUAUGCAUCUCCCUGUAGGGAAAUGUGGGCACAGAACGUGCGCAGAUUUUAUCCAAUAUGCCAGUGUCAAGCUCGUGACAAGACUACAAAUGACAGGAUUCCUCACGUAACUGGCAUGCAAAUCCUAACUAAUAAGUAGAUAUAAUGGAAAUCAACUUUUAAAGUGAAUUUCUAUGACGUUAUAAUUAGCUAAUAUGUUAAGUUUAUAUUGAAAAGCUGCCUGUUAUUUCAACCAGCGUCACUGGGUAUAUUAUAAUUAUAACACAUUUUAAAACUUACAUUUAAUUAUGAUUUGUUUGUAUUAAUCAUCAAAGUUGAAUAAUCCUGUUUAUAUUUCACUUCUAAACCUAGAUCAAUAGUUCUACUCCGAUGUUCUGUGUAAGGCAAAUGAAGGGUACAUGGAAAUAAAUCAGUCGAAUAUUUUUUUUAUGAGAUUUUAAUCUCAAAAUGUAGAGGUUUCAAUGAACUUCAUUAUGUUAUUAGACUUAUUAGUUACAACUUCGAUUGCCAUUGUGUUUGUAAAUAUAAGUUUUUUUUUCUCACUUUAAAACCUAAAUACGGAACCCUAAAACAUUACUGACAAACCGCGAUAACUGAAAAUGUUAUCAAAGUGACUAGACAUUCUUUCCGUGUGUUCCCUUCAUAUCAGGGAUGUUGCGGAGGCAGAUUUUUUGACAUCCGCGGAUGCGGAUGCAGAUGCGGAUUUUUCAAGUCCCACAUCUGCAGAUGCGGAUGCGGAUGCGGAUGCGAAUGUGAGGAUAGGCACUUACUCAGGCAUAUUAAAAACACAAAAUUUGAUCAAAGAAGUUAUAUUUAUUCAAAAAGAUAACGUUUCAUAUUUAAAAAUCUUAGAAAUUAAGAUAAAGGUGGGCCAACGAUACUAAAAAUCAUAGAAUUCUAUGAAAUAAGGGUGGAUUCCUGUUGAUGUUUGCAACUUUGCAAUAGGCGCAACCCGCGAUCCACGAAUCACAGACGUGUAACGAGACUCGUAUUGGCCAAUGGUGAAUUUACCGUGCACGUGGGCCGCGUCUAAGUCGUUCCUGUACCGACCUGUUCAACAUCCGCAUCAUGCGAAUGCUCCGUAUUGAUUUUUGCGGAGGCGGAUGCGGAUUUUGAAAAUGAUGCGGAAGUUCCGCGCGUGCGGAUGCGGAUGCGAAUAUCCGCAACAUCCCUGCUUCAUAUAUUGUGACAGUUAUGCAAUAACGAUUUCGAUGAUGAUAAGGUACAGUCACGAGCUUUAAUUUGUGACCCAUUUUCGGUAAACGUUAGAACAUUCAUAAUGCAGUAAGGUCGAAACUUUAGUGUAUCAUAAAAAGUCAUAUCUAAUCGACUCUUGAAAUGACAACCUCUUUGCAAAAAGCUAUCAUUACGGUUUUCGACAUAUUUCCUGUCAGUGUCAGUCAAGAAAAUAGUUUAAUGUGAAGGACGAACGUAAACGUCGAUAGUAAACAUUAUGGAAUUGACAGCGUUAAAAUAUUAGCUCUAAAUAGCGAAAGUUUGCUACACGAUAUUCAACCUUGGGUGGGUCCCAAAUUAAAGCUCGUGACUGUACCUCUUUGUAUGAAAAACCACAGAUACACAGUUAAAAUAUUCGAGAAUAUAUUAUGUGUGCACUAAGGGUAAUUUUUUAUGUUACGAAACUAUUAUAUGUAUAAUCACCAUUUUCCUCAAUUCACCAAUGCCAUGAAAACAUUUGAUUAGUCAAUUUUAAAUCGUCAGUAAAUUAAAAAAAUAUUAACUAAUAAUAUUACGUAACUGACUAUCUGACAAACAGGGAAUCAGGGAAAAUUACCGGUAGUGCACUAAACUCAUGAAAACAGUACAAGAACUCCUGCGACAAUAACGAAGCUGAGAGUUGCCGUGGUCGACAACAGUCAAUUAUUCUUAAUAUCGGAAUGUAUAAAUACCAAAUAAAAUUUAAUUUGGGA